UACGAAGGGGGCUAACGUUGUUCGGAAUUACUGGGCGUAAAGCGCACGUAGGCGGAUUUGUAAGUCAGGGGUGAAAUCCCGGGGCUCAACCUCGGAACUGCCUUUGAUACUGCAAGUCUUGAGUCCGAUAGAGGUGAGUGGAAUUCCUAGUGUAGAGGUGAAAUUCGUAGAUAUUAGGAAGAACACCAGUGGCGAAGGCGGCUCACUGGAUCGGUACUGACGCUGAGGUGCGAAAGCGUGGGGAGCAAACAGG
This 253-nucleotide ribosomal RNA is filed under the name uncultured bacterium. RNAcentral describes it as "partial 16S ribosomal RNA". It matches the Rfam family "Bacterial small subunit ribosomal RNA", at positions 524 to 776 of the family's 1533-position model. The record is from RNAcentral.